UACGUAGGGGGCAAGCGUUGUCCGGAUUUAUUGGGCGUAAAGAGCGUGUAGGCGGCCAGGUAGGUCUGCUGUGAAAACUCGAGGCUUAACCUCGAGCUGUCGGCGGAAACCAUCUGGCUAGAGUCCGGAAGAGGAGAAUGGAAUUCCCGGUGUAGCGGUGAAAUGCGCAGAUAUCGGGAAGAACACCCGUGGCGAAGGCGGUUGCCUGGAGCUUUGCUGACGCUGAUGCGCGAAAGCGUGGGGAGCGAUCCGG
This 253-nucleotide ribosomal RNA is filed under the name uncultured bacterium. Its description in RNAcentral is "partial 16S ribosomal RNA". It matches the Rfam family "Bacterial small subunit ribosomal RNA", at positions 524 to 776 of the family's 1533-position model. The record is from RNAcentral.